This 251-nucleotide ribosomal RNA is filed under the name uncultured bacterium. RNAcentral's name for it is "partial 16S ribosomal RNA". It matches the Rfam family "Bacterial small subunit ribosomal RNA", at positions 524 to 775 of the family's 1533-position model. The record is from RNAcentral.
UACAGAGACUGCAAGCGUUAUUCGGAUUCACUGGGCGUAAAGGGUGCGCAGGCGGCCGAGUGUGUGAGGCGUGAAAGCCCGGGGCUUAACCCCGGAAUUGCACCUCAAACUACACGGCUAGAGCAUUGGAGAGGGUAGCAGAAUUCAUGGUGUAGCAGUGAAAUGCGUAGAUAUCAUGAGGAAUACCAGAGGCGAAGGCGGCUACCUGGACAAUUGCUGACGCUCAGGCACGAAAGCGUGGGAGCAAAGGA